Molecule: ribosomal RNA, 250 nt
Filed under: uncultured prokaryote
Description: partial 16S ribosomal RNA
Rfam family: Bacterial small subunit ribosomal RNA
Source: RNAcentral
UACGUAGGGACCGAGCGUUGUCCGGAAUUAUUGGGUGUAAAGGGUGCGUAGACGGAAAUUUAAGUUGGUUGUGAAAUCCCCGGGCUCAACUUGGGAACUGCAACCAAAACUGAAUAUCUUGAGUGUAGGAGAGGAAAGUGGAAUUCCUAGUGUAGCGGUGAAAUGCGUAGAGAUUAGGAGGAACACCAGUGGCGAAGGCGACUUUCUGGACUAUAACUGACGUUGAGGCACGAAAGUGUGGGGAGCAAAC